UUUUGUUUUAUGAUGACUAGUAACAUAAUUCACAUAACGUUUGUGAUUAUCCCUAAAAUUAUUUGUCUUUCACUCCUAUAUGAUGACUCUU
Small nucleolar RNA from Solanum dulcamara, 91 nucleotides. RefSeq annotates it as small nucleolar RNA snR60/Z15/Z230/Z193/J17. The transcript has a single exon. The record is from RefSeq and is a predicted model, not a curated record. NCBI's taxonomy places the organism in Eukaryota, Viridiplantae, Streptophyta, Magnoliopsida, Solanales, Solanaceae.